This is an RNA transcript of Brienomyrus brachyistius, 3154 nucleotides long. It is a transcript of the gene named thyroid peroxidase, with no coding region annotated. The transcript has 15 exons. Lineage: Eukaryota; Metazoa; Chordata; Actinopteri; Osteoglossiformes; Mormyridae. The record is from RefSeq and is a predicted model, not a curated record.
CGCAGGGCCACUGAGGGCAGAUCUGCUAGCAUCUCUAAGAGAAAAUCUCUCCAGUGAGAAAAUCCCUCCAGUGAGCAGGGUUACUGCAGCAGAAGCACAUCGGAAUUUGUGGGCAAAUUCAUCUAAUGAAAGCAGUUAUGCCCAGUUAUUUAAGGUUUGUUACAUCGGCCCUGCUAGCUUGUGUUCUCCUCACAUCUUUACAAAUGGAUGAAGUGGGAAAAGCCAAAAAAGAAAUUAAAAUGAACAAGGACUCUUCAUUCCAAGACAGUCUUCAAAACGGACCCAUAUCUUCCCCUCACCCUCUGAACAGUGACAGAGAGGGAAUCCCCCAGUCAUCACUGCACAUGUUUACGCUGCUCCGCCAGGCUGGGCCUGAGACCCAAGCCAUUGCGAGAGCUGCGGAAGCUCAGGAAAUAGCUCUGCAGUCAUUAAAGGGGAAAGCAGCCAAACGGGUAAAGAAGGACCUGAAAUCAACAGAUGAUCCUACUUUAGAGGAAAUUGAGGCUAUUGCCAACCUGUCCGGCUGUCCUCCUCCAACGAAGUCAAAAAUUUGCCCCAACGGCUGUCUAUCUGAAAAGUACCGGACAAUUUCUGGAAUCUGCAAUAACAGACAUAAUCCAUUAUGGGGAGCAGCCAACACUGCAUUCUCACGGUGGCUCCCAGCAGAGUAUGAGGAUGAACAGGGUCAACCCAAGGGCUGGAACCCGGGGCACUUACACAAUGGCUUUCGCUUACCUCUCGUGCGGGAAGUCAGCAACAAAAUUAUGCAGAGAUCAAGCAAGCAUGUCUCGGAGGAUGAUGCAUAUUCCCAGAUGCUGGUGGACUGGGGCCAGUACAUCGACCAUGACAUUUCAUUCACUCCACAGUGUAUAGUCAAGGCUGCUUCUCUUGGAGGACCGGACUGUUUAGAAACCUGUGAAAACAUUAAUCCCUGCUUCCCGAUUAAGAUUCCCCGGAAUGACAAACUGUCUGGGAAAAGAAGCUGUCUGCCAUUCUUCCGCUCUUCUCCGGCCUGUCCUUCUCCGCACACGGAUGGUGAGGACCCCCCAGCGAGGCCACAGCGGCAGCAGAUGAACGCCAUCACGUCCUUCCUAGAUGCUUCCACGGUUUACGGUCACACGCCGGCCCUGGAGGGCCUGCUCCGUGACCUGUCCAGCGCGGAGGGCCUGCUCGCUGUCAACACCCGCUUCUCCGAUGGGGGCUUCCCAUACUUACCCUUUGUCCCCAGCAUCCCCUCGGGAUGCCUCCAGGAUCCGGGCGACCUGCGGGGGGAGAGGGUGGAGUGCUUUUUGGCGGGAGACAGCAGAGUCAGCGAGAUCCUGCCACUGUCUGCCCUGCACACGCUGUGGCUGAGGGAGCACAAUCGUAUCGCCGCCGGCCUGAAAGAGCUCAACGCUCACUGGAGCCAUGAGCAAACCUACCAAGAAGCCCGGAAAAUUGUCGGCGCUUUACAUCAGGUCAUAACUUUCAGGGAUUAUGCCCCAAAGAUCCUUGGAAGAGAGGCUUUUGAGAAAUACAUUGGGGUUUACGAAGGAUACGAUCGGUCCAUCAACCCCACGGUUUCCAACGUAUUUGCCACAGCUGCCUUUCGCUUUGGCCAUGCCACCAUUGCAGCGGUGGUGCUGAGGCUCAAUGAGAGCUUUCAGGAGCACGAGCGCCACUCCCCUGUGAGUCUACAUGAUACAUUCUUCAGUCCAUGGAGACUUGUUAAAGAAGGCGGACUGGAUCCUAUUCUUAGAGGACUGCUGGGAAGGCCAGCGAUCGCAGUGACAACAGACCACUUGAUGACAGAGGAGCUGACAGAGAGGCUAAUAGUUCUUUCAAGCCCUGGAGAUUUGGACCUCACAGCCCUUAAUUUGCAACGUGGCCGCGACCAUGGGCUCCCUGGCUACAAUAAAUGGAGGGAAUUCUGUGGAUAUGAAAGAAUACAGACCCAAGCUGAACUCAGCAGAGUUAUAAGUGAUGCUAGUUUGGUUCAGAAGAUAAUGGAGCUGUACCAACAUCCCAGGAACAUUGACGUGUGGCUGGCCGGACUGGUGGAGGACCUCUUGCCUGGUGCCAGGACAGGGCCGCUCUUUGCAUGUUUAAUUGGGAAGCAGCUGAAAAUGCUUCGAGAAGGUGACAGGUUCUGGUGGGAGAACGAGGGCAUGUUUACAGAUGCUCAGAGGGCAGAAAUCCAAAGGCACUCUCUUUCUCGGGUAAUUUGUGACAACAGUGGAUUGAACGAAGUCCCCACUGACCCCUUUAGAUUGAAACAAUACCCAAAAGACUUUCAGCCCUGUAAGAACUUACCCACCAUGAAUCUGAAGGCUUGGCAAGAAGAUCUCAGUAAAGAGCUGAUGCCCUGCGGUUCUCCCGCUGAGCUAGAAAAUGGGGAUUUUGUGUUUUGUUCCAUAUCUGGCAAAUUGGUGGCUGCUUACUCCUGUCGCCAUGGGUAUCGCCUGGAAGGCCAGGAGGAAAUUCUCUGCACGGAACGCGGCUGGAGCAGCCAACCUCCCAUCUGCAAAGGAGAUCGACCGCACAGUCAUUCAGUCUGUGAGGAGAAGGAUCUGAAGUGCUCUUCUUACUGAGAACCUCUUUAAAAUCUGCAUAAGGACCAGAAUGAAACCUUCAACUGGAAUCUCAAUUGCCUUGUGAUCUUGAGACACACAAUAUCUUAGCUGUGAUCAUGAAGCACACAGGAACCGGGAACUACGUAGAACAAUUACUUGGGAGUACUGCUCCACUUGCAGGUUUCCUACUUCUUGCAAGUCUUGGAGUCUGGGUUAAGUGGAACAAUAGGAAACUGUAGGAAAAAUUCAUGUCAAAAAUCAGUGAUUAGAAAUAACUAAAGCUCAAGACUGAGCCAGUUGUAUUAACCAGAAUGAAUUUAAAUAGCCUUAUGAAUGAAAUGCAGAUGAGUGUGGCCAUGGAGGCUGAGCACAGCAGCAGCAGAUACCUUUUCAGUUCAGAAGAUGUAAAUGUUUGACCACAUCCAGUAAUGUCCACACUAAGACCAUCUUUAACGGCAUCAAGACGUACAGUAUGUGACGUCUGAAAGAUUCCCCUGCACAUGGAUUCUGUGCAUAGCUGAUGCAACAGCUAUGAUGCAUAUCUCAACGGCUACUGUACUUCUUAAUCUAACAGUAAAAGUAGGUUUUCACUGUUUAUAUGU